Molecule: unclassified non-coding RNA, 377 nt
Filed under: Hevea brasiliensis (rubber tree)
Lineage: Eukaryota; Viridiplantae; Streptophyta; Magnoliopsida; Malpighiales; Euphorbiaceae
Source: RNAcentral
AAAUGUUUCUCAUCGGUAAGUUACUUUUCUAACAAACACAAAUUAUUGUUUCCUUGUUUUUAGUCUGGCAACAAUCAGAAUUCAUGUUUUUCUCUUGAAGUUUUGGCAUCAUAAGUAAAAAAGGAAGCCUAUUAUUGACAUCACAUCUGUUUGUAACGUCUGUAGCAAGACAAGACUUUUCCUACACAUUGAUCCACCAUGGCAGUGCAGUAAAUGGUCUUGGAUUGUGAACUAUCUAGUAUAGGUCAGGUUUAGCUAAUUUAGGGGCAUUAUUAAGGCUCAUUCUGUCAUGGGACACAACCUCACACAACAACCAUUUUAUUGAUAAAAUGGUUUCUGUGGUGAAGUCAAAUUGGACGAAAACAAUCACAUAUAUG